This 85-nucleotide transfer RNA is filed under the name Felis catus (domestic cat). It matches the Rfam family "tRNA". From Rfam's summary of the family: Transfer RNA (tRNA) molecules are approximately 80 nucleotides in length. Their secondary structure includes four short double-helical elements and three loops (D, anti-codon, and T loops). Further hydrogen bonds mediate the characteristic L-shaped molecular structure. tRNAs have two regions of fundamental functional importance: the anti-codon, which is responsible for specific mRNA codon recognition, and the 3' end, to which the tRNAs corresponding amino acid is attached (by aminoacyl-tRNA synthetases). tRNAs cope with the degeneracy of the genetic code in two manners: having more than one tRNA (with a specific anti-codon) for a particular amino acid; and 'wobble' base-pairing, i.e. permitting non-standard base-pairing at the 3rd anti-codon position. Lineage: Eukaryota; Metazoa; Chordata; Mammalia; Carnivora; Felidae. The record is from Rfam by way of RNAcentral.
GCCUGGGUGGCUCAGUUGGUUGAGCGUCUGACUUCGGCUCAGGUCGUGAUCUCACAGUCGGUGAGUUCGAGCCCCACGUCGGGCU